Molecule: long non-coding RNA, 701 nt
Filed under: Mus spicilegus (steppe mouse)
Lineage: Eukaryota; Metazoa; Chordata; Mammalia; Rodentia; Muridae
Description: lncRNA (ENSMSIG00000024672.1)
Source: RNAcentral
AUUUGAACCAGGUGCUGAGAGCUGUCUGGCGUCUCCUGGCUGCUGUAUUAACCACGAACAUGCACAAGAGGAUUCCGAGGCAGUAAAAUGGAGCGGGACCAAUGGCAAUGACCAGGGCUGAGCGCGGCAGCUGUGGCGAUGAACAUUCAAAUCACACCCACGCGGUCGGGCCCAGGGCCCCCAGCCCCUGUAAGGCGCAUUUCCGGAGGGCCGGGGAGCCCAGGGAAUUUGGCUGCCUUCACUCAGAGGGUAAAGCUUCCCAUGCAAAUCAAACCACUGGACUUGCUUCCCAGGCCUGCUUCAGAGCUCUGGUUCGUUCCAUUUGCAUCCCGAGGGCAGGACUUGGCUUGCCAAAGCACAGCCCGACACAGCAGUUAGUCAAGGGCCUAGAAGGCUGUCACUCACAGGCAAGUAAUGUCUACCUGUGCCAUCGUAGAAACGGACUUCUAACAUUGUUUUUCAAAGGUCUCCACUUCUCUCAAAGUCUGGCAAAUGUUGGAACUUUCCUGUUCUACGUAGGAGCCUGCAUGCCCCAUGUCUCUCCUUUGCUAAUGCUUUGGGAACACACCUUGCUUCAGAGGACAUGGCAGGCUGGAGUAUUAACUGGAGCUGUGACAGAGCAGGCUUUCAAUACAGUGUGGACUGUGCCAUCACCUAUGCUCACAACAUUUUUAAUGAGAAAUAACAAAACGACUCCAGGU